RNAcentral lists this ribosomal RNA (839 nucleotides) under uncultured bacterium. Its description in RNAcentral is "bacterial SSU rRNA". It matches the Rfam family "Bacterial small subunit ribosomal RNA", at positions 76 to 892 of the family's 1533-position model. The record is from RNAcentral.
CCCUUCGGGGGACUAGUAGAGUGGCGCACGGGUGAGUAACACGUAGGUAAUCUACCUUCGGAUGGGGAAUAACAAUCGGAAACGGUUGCUAAUACCGCAUAAUGCAGCGGCACCUAAUGGUGACAGUUGUUAAAGCGGGGGAUCGAAAGACCUCGCGUCUGAAGAGGAGCCUGCGGCGGAUUAGCUAGUUGGUAAGGUAACGGCUUACCAAGGCAACGAUCCGUAACCGGCCUGAGAGGGCGGUCGGUCACACUGACACUGACAUACGGGUCAGACUCCUACGGGAGGCAGCAGUCGGGAAUUUUGGGCAAUGGGCGAAAGCCUGACCCAGCAACGCCGCGUGAAGGAUGAAAUCCCUCGGGAUGUAAACUUCGCAAGAACGGGAAGAAUAAGUCUGUGUAAAUAUCACAGAUGAUGACGGUACCGUUUGUAAGCUCCGGCUAACUCCGUGCCAGCAGCCGCGGUAAUACGGGGGGAGCAAGCGUUGUUCGGAUUUACUGGGCAUAAAGGGCGCGUAGGCGGCCACCGCAAGUCAAUUGUGAAAUCUCCGGGCUUAACUCGGAAAGGUCAACUGAUACUGCGGGGCUAGAGUGCGGAAGGGGCAACUGGAAUUCUCGGUGUAGCGGUGAAAUGCGUAGAUAUCGAGAGGAACACCUGCGGCGAAGGCGGGUUGCUGGGCCGACACUGACGCUGAGGCGCGAAAGCCAGGGGAGCGAACGGGAUUAGAUACCCCGGUAGUCCUGGCCUUAAACGAUGAAUGCUUGGUGUCUGGGGUUAUAAAGUCCCCGGGUGCCGUCGCUAACGCUUUAAGCAUUCCGCCUGGGGAGUACGGUCGCAAG